GAUGUCGACUUGGAGGUUGUGCCCUUGAGGCGUGGCUUCCGGAGCUAACGCGUUAAGUCGACCGCCUGGGGAGUACGGCCGCAAGGUUAAAACUCAAAUGAAUUGACGGGGGCCCGCACAAGCGGUGGAGCAUGUGGUUUAAUUCGAUGCAACGCGAAGAACCUUACCUGGUCUUGACAUCCACGGAAGUUUUCAGAGAUGAGAAUGUGCCUUCGGGAACCGUGAGACAGGUGCUGCAUGGCUGUCGUCAGCUCGUGUUGUGAAAUGUUGGGUUAAGUCCCGCAACGAGCGUAACCCUUAUCCUUUGUUGCCAGCGGUCCGGCCGGGAACUCAAAGGAGACUGCCAGUGAUAAACUGGAGGAAGGUGGGGAUGACGUCAAGUCAUCAUGGCCCUUACGACCAGGGCUACACACGUGCUACAAUGGCGCAUACAAAGAGAAGCGACCUCGCGAGAGCAAGCGGACCUCAUAAAGUGCGUCGUAGUCCGGAUUGGAGUCUGCAACUCGACUCCAUGAAGUCGGAAUCGCUAGUAAUCGUGGAUCAGAAUGCCACGGUGAAUACGUUCCCGGGCCUUGUACACACCGCCCGUCACACCAUGGGAGUGGGUUGCAAAAGAAGUAGGUAGCUUAACCUUCGGGAGGGCGCUUACCACUUUGUGAUUCAUGACUGGGGUGAAGUCGUAACAAGGUAACCGUAGGGGAACCUGCGGUUGGAUCACCUCCUUACCUUAAAGAAGC
RNAcentral lists this ribosomal RNA (737 nucleotides) under Shigella flexneri. RNAcentral's name for it is "bacterial SSU rRNA". It matches the Rfam family "Bacterial small subunit ribosomal RNA", at positions 808 to 1533 of the family's 1533-position model. The record is from RNAcentral. Lineage: Bacteria; Pseudomonadati; Pseudomonadota; Gammaproteobacteria; Enterobacterales; Enterobacteriaceae.